This 253-nucleotide ribosomal RNA is filed under the name uncultured bacterium. Its description in RNAcentral is "partial 16S ribosomal RNA". It matches the Rfam family "Bacterial small subunit ribosomal RNA", at positions 524 to 776 of the family's 1533-position model. The record is from RNAcentral.
UACAGAGGGUGCAAGCGUUAAUCGGAAUGACUGGGCGUAAAGGGCGCGUAGGCGGAUAAUUAAGUCAGAUGUGAAAUACCCGGGCUUAACCUGGGGGGUGCAUCUGAUACUGGUUGUCUGGAGUAGAGUAGAGGGAAGUGGAAUUUCCGGUGUAGCGGUGAAAUGCGUAGAUAUCGGAAAGAACAUCAGUGGCGAAGGCGACUUUCUGGACUCAUACUGACGCUGAGGCGCGAAAGCGUGGGUAGCAAACAGG